Long non-coding RNA from Homo sapiens (human), 2958 nucleotides. Ensembl annotates it as long intergenic non-protein coding RNA 1535. The record is from Ensembl. NCBI's taxonomy places the organism in Eukaryota, Metazoa, Chordata, Mammalia, Primates, Hominidae.
CCCCCACGUUUCCGGGAGCCCGGCGGACGCUGGGUCUGCAGAUGCCAUCCAGGCGCACGGCGGGUAUAGUGGUUCCGCAACCUUGGGAUGUUCGGCUGAGCGCCUGCCUAACAUGGGAGCGCCUGCCUAACCCUCCUGACUGGAGGGUCAGCGGCGGGGAGUCCUGGCCUUCAAUCGGCCAUCGCCACGGCAGAAACUGGGGCCCGGGCUGCGUCCAGGCCCUUCCCCGUCCGUCCACAGGUCUCAUGGGCGCCCGGACUGGGGCUGAUGUAGUUUCCCGACCUCUGACACAUAGGAUCUGGAGAUUAAAGCUGCUCUGCUAAUAAUUAGGUUCCCACCUCUCAAGAUCAUUAGGAGCUUCUUUUCCAAUUCCUCUGUUUUGCAUGCAUUGGAAGGCCCCUGGAUCCUCCUGGAAUCCCUGAUCCCUGUUGCUCCCUGGCGGAGUUUUCUAGUCCCUCUUACUUGAAGCAUGUCUUUCAGAGCCCGGCACCACCCAAGUUGGGUAUCUGCUACACCUCUAUGGUAUUUUUUUCACCUCAUAUCAUACCUUCCUCCCUCACUGGACUUCAGUGUGGGACCUGCAGGUCUCAGGCCUUCUGGGAAGUCCCAGCUUUUCUUGAAUGUUCUCUCUCUCUGGCCAGCUCAGGCUGGAGCAGUGGGUGUUGGUGCCAUCCUGUGGCUAUAGGUGAUAAGCCGGCUGUUCUUCACUGACCUGGUCUUACCUUGAACCCUGGAGUUCUCACAUGCAUGGAUUUAAAUGCUGUGUCUUUCUAAGGGCACAUUAUGGCCAUUUUCCUUAUCUCCCUCCCAAGGGGCUGUUUCCUGUAUUUAUUGACUCCCUGUUUAAAAAAAAUAUAUGUAUAUAUAGACAAAUUGGAUUGUACCCCAUAAACUGCAUGUUUUAAAAAUACUUCAAAGAAUAGUUUUUCAUUUUUUUCUUGCUGGUUUUUAUGUAUCUUCUAAAUUGUAUAUAUUUAUGGGGUAUAAAAUGAUGUUGUGAUUUUUCAAUACAGUGUGGAAUGAGAAUCAAAUUAACCUAUCCGUUACCUCAAGUACUUGACUUUUUUUGUGAUGAGAAGGCUGUUUAUCACUUUCACUCACCAGCUCCUGCUGUCUUCCAUGCUGGGGACAGGAAAGGCUCCACGCUUGACUUUCCCUCCUGUUUUCUUAUCUGCUGUCAACCCCUGAAUGUACCCUCCAGGAUUGACUUCUAGACCUUCUACAUCUAGCUCGAUCGUUGUGCACCCACCUUCCUCCCAGGGACUGUCCUUAGGGAGUGACUUUAUGCACAAACUUCACAUGCUCUUCCUGCCUCCUUCAUCCCCAGAAGCCCCCAUCUCAGCCCCAUCUGAUUAUUUCCUCCCUCUCUCAUUUCCUGUUAUGCUGUUGGUUUUCUAACCUGAAGGGUAACUUCUUACUCCUUAGUUUUUUGCCUUAAUUUCUAAGUCAUAGGCUACUUUCAGGCUAAAAGUUUUCCUCCAGCCAUGGUUUUAGUCUCAUUCUAUAAGUCUUGCUAGGUAGUUUAUUCAUUGGAAAUUUUUUGUUUUUGAGACAGAGUCUCGCUCUAUCACCCAGGCUGUAGUACAGUGGUGCCAUCUCAGCUCACUGCAACCUCCGGUUCCCGGGCUCAAGCAGUUCUCUUUCCUCAGCCUCCUGAGUAGCUGGGAUUAUGGGUGCCUGCCACCACACCCAGCUAAUUUUUGUAUUUUUAGCAGAGACGGCAUUUCACCAUGUCAGCCAGGUUGGUCUCGAACUCUUGACCUCAAGUGAUCCGCCCGCCUUGGCCUCCCAAAAUACUGGGAUUACAGGGGUGAGUCACCGCACCCCACCCCUUGGCACUAUAUUUAAGUGAUGAUAUUUUUGGACACUGAGGUAGCCUCAUUCCACAGGUUUAGAUCUGAAGCAUUUUCACUAUUGCUUCUUUCCAUGUAUUUCCUGGUUUGCAGGUCAGUUUCUUCUUUUAAUUCAUCAUUGACACAGUGGUUUAUAUGGCUUUUAAUUUCAAAAGAUUUUUUAAAAUAUCUUUUUGCCGAUUUUUAUCUAUGUUAAUUUUAACUAGACAUGUUCCCUGGAAGGACAUCACUAGUUUUUUUUUUUUUUUUCCCUCUGUUUAUAAUUUAGGUGGAUUUUCACAUCUCAAGCCAGCUAAGAGUAUGGGAAAUAGGACUCGUUAAAGCACAGGUAUCACACAAGUGAUUCAGAUUCACGAGGGUAAUCCAGAUGAAGGUAUAUCAUUGUACCUGGCCCGCAUCACUCAAUAACUGUCACCUUUGAUUUAUUGAUUUACUUGAGAUGGAGUUUGGUUCUGUCCCCGAGGCCGGAGUGCAAUGGCGUGAUCUCUGCUCACUACAACCUCUGCCUCCCAGGUUCAGAGUGAUUCUCCUGCCUCAGCCUCUUUAGCUGGGAUUACAGGCACCCACCAACAUGCCCAGCUAAUUUUUGUAUUUUUAGUAGAGAGGAGCUUUCACCAUAAUGGCCAGGCUGGUCUUGAACCUCAAAUGAUCUGCCCACCUUGGCCUCCCAAAGUGCUAGGAUUACAGGCUGGAGCUACGGAGCCCAGCCUGUCACCUUGAUUUAAAUGAAUGCAGCUUUCUUGGUGUCUUGAUGUUUGUGAAUUUCUGUGGAGUUUGAUACUGCUCCUUUUGCUGCUUGUUUUUCCAGAGUCCCCUUAUCACUUGACGUGCUGUUAUAUUAUGUUUGAUUUAUUACAGAUACCCCAUCAGCCUGAGUCUCUUAAAGGCCUUUAUACACAUAUGUCUACACAUAGGGAUUUGGAUGAUCUCGGGAUCCCACAUCCUCGCUGUCCCCUGUCCCCCCACAACAUCCCACACCAAUACCUUUCUGAAGUUUUCUAGUCCCUCCUUUUUGUUUGUGGUCCUUAAAGCCCAGCCCCAUGCCUGACUUUGGUUCCCAGUGAGCAUUGUACAUUUGUGGAUAUUAAAUCUUUGGCAAAGUCAU